UAGGGAAUAUUGGGCAAUGGGCGAAAGCCUGACCCAGCCAUGCCGCGUGAAGGAUGAAGGUUAUAGAAUUGUAAACUUCUUUUGCAAGCCAAUAGGUAGCUUGCGAAUAAGCCCCGGCUAACUACGUGCCAGCAGCCGCGGUAAUACGUAGGGGGCAAGCGUUGUCCGGAUUUACUGGGUUUAAAGGGUGCGUAGGCGGUUUGGUAAGUCGGCGAUGAAAUGACGGCGCUCAACGUCGUCGCUGUUGCCGAUACUGCCGGACUGGAGUGCGGUCAAGGUAGCUGGAAUGAGUGGUGUAGCGGUGAAAUGCGUAGAGAUCACUCAGAACACCGAUUGCGAAGGCAGGUUACUGGGCCAUUACUGACGCUGAGGCACGAAAGUGUGGGGAGCAAACAGGAUUAGAUACCCGGGUAGU
RNAcentral lists this ribosomal RNA (415 nucleotides) under uncultured bacterium. Its description in RNAcentral is "bacterial SSU rRNA". It matches the Rfam family "Bacterial small subunit ribosomal RNA", at positions 355 to 794 of the family's 1533-position model. The record is from RNAcentral.